ACGGAAGUCGUUGUAAUGAAAUGGAAAUGGACAGAGAACUUGUUCGAAGAAAGUUGAAGUAGACUUACAACAAUGGCUUUAGUGGCGGACUGGUGAGUAACGCGUAAGGAACCUGCCUUUUAGAGGGGAAUAACAAUGAGAAAUCAUUGCUAAUACCGCAUAUGCCGAGAGAAUCACAUGGUACAAUCGGGAAAGGAGCAAUCCGCUAAAAGAUGGCCUUGCGUCUGAUUAGAUAGUUGGUGGGGUAACGGCCUACCAAGUCGACGAUCAGUAGCCGGACUGAGAGGUUGAACGGCCACAUUGGGACUGAGAUACGGCCCAGACUCCUACGGGAGGCAGCAGUCGGGAAUAUUGCGCAAUGGAGGAAACUCUGACGCAGUGACGCCGCGUAUAGGAAGAAGGUUUUCGGAUUGUAAACUAUUGUCGUUAGGGAAGAGAAAGGACAGUACCUAAGGAGGAAGCUCCGGCUAACUACGUGCCAGCAGCCGCGGUAAUACGUAGGGAGCGAGCGUUAUCCGGAAUUAUUGGGUGUAAAGGGUGCGUAGACGGGAAGAUAAGUUAGUUGUGAAAUCCCUCGGCUUAACUGAGGAACUGCAACUAAAACUGUUUUUCUUGAGUGCAGGAGAGGUAAGUGGAAUUCCUAGUGUAGCGGUGAAAUGCGUAGAUAUUAGGAGGAACACCAGU
This 684-nucleotide ribosomal RNA is filed under the name uncultured bacterium. RNAcentral describes it as "bacterial SSU rRNA". It matches the Rfam family "Bacterial small subunit ribosomal RNA", at positions 55 to 713 of the family's 1533-position model. The record is from RNAcentral.